AAGAAGGAGGACUCUAACUUCCACUUCUCGGAGAAAAAGCAAUUAUAUAUAUCCCCACCUCUGGCUUGACACCAAGUCUCCCAACCACAACACGACACGGUUACAGUACACAUACUUUACAUAUAUUCAGCACAAACUGACACUCGCACAAAACACAGAAUGGGGAGAGGAAGAGUGGAGCUGAAGAGGAUAGAGAACAAGAUCA
RNAcentral lists this unclassified non-coding RNA (205 nucleotides) under Hevea brasiliensis (rubber tree). Lineage: Eukaryota; Viridiplantae; Streptophyta; Magnoliopsida; Malpighiales; Euphorbiaceae. The record is from RNAcentral.